This 459-nucleotide ribosomal RNA is filed under the name uncultured bacterium. RNAcentral's name for it is "partial 16S ribosomal RNA". It matches the Rfam family "Bacterial small subunit ribosomal RNA", at positions 338 to 795 of the family's 1533-position model. The record is from RNAcentral.
CCUACGGGCGGCAGCAGUGAGGAAUAUUGGUCAAUGGCCGAGAGGCUGAACCAGCCAAGUCGCGUGAGGGAAGAAUGUCCUAAGGAUUGUAAACCUCUUUUGUCGGGGAGCAAAAAGGCUCUGCGGAGUCGUAUUGAGAGUACCCGAAGAAAAAGCAUCGGCUAACUCCGUGCCAGCAGCCGCGGUAAUACGGAGGAUGCGAGCGUUAUCCGGAUUUAUUGGGUUUAAAGGGUGCGCAGGCGGCGUGUCAAGCAAGCGGUAAAAUAGCGGGGCUCAACCCCGUCGAGCCGUUUGAACUGGCGCGCUUGAGUGCAGGAGGGUCAAUCGGAAUUCCUAGUGUAGCGGUGGAAUGCGUAGAUAUUAGGAGGAACACCAGUGGCGAAGGCGGAUUGCUAGACUGUAACUGACACUGAGGCACGAAAGCGUGGGGAGCAAACAGGAUUAGAUACCCGGGUAGUC